Megalops cyprinoides (Indo-Pacific tarpon) is the source of this 3024-nucleotide long non-coding RNA. RefSeq lists it as uncharacterized. NCBI's taxonomy places the organism in Eukaryota, Metazoa, Chordata, Actinopteri, Elopiformes, Megalopidae. The transcript has 6 exons. The record is from RefSeq and is a predicted model, not a curated record.
ACAGCAAUGGCGGAUCGUGGAGCCUCUCAAUAGUUCCCGGAAGUUAGCAGCAGAAUUCUAGCUACACACCGUUUGUGAUGCACUUUUAAAGGUGGGGAAACCGUACAUUCGUACUCCUUUCUCCGAGCAAUUGGAGCAUCCCCAUGCAGCACAGCAACCACGGUGGAGACUAUUAUGCAAGGACAACACGGAGGAAAGGGCACAGACAAACUGCAGUGUUUCCCACACUUUAUUUGGGCGGGCCGCCCAAGGUAUAUCAACGGCCGUCAAAAUAUAUCUGGCGACCAUUUUUAGCAUUUUUUUUUUAAUUUUUAUUUUUUAUCCGUCCGAGUGAACGACGCCAUCCGCGAUCGAUUAUUUUCUAGCGCUCUGCGCUGACCUUUCCGAGUGUAAACAAUGAUUUUACAGUGUGACGUACUGGAACAUGAACGGCGCGAAACAUAAACAUUGAAUUUUGACUUUAGUCUGCCACAGACUAAUGUCUGACCACCCCUAUGGUCACCCCACACAGCACCGCUUUUCAGGCAGAACUUUUUUUGCAGAACCAUGUCUAUAAGGCCGUAGUUCCCAUACGGACGCAUUUUAACAGCGCAACCACCCCCCGUUUAACCGCAUGCAACCGAGUAGUUCUCGGAGCCCUUCUAGCCAGACUCAACUCGCUAUUUGCAGCCUGAGGAGAGAGGUCUCCGUAGUAUAAUCGCAGGCAAAAUGAAGAGAGAGAUAACUUCCUAGUUUGGUCAGUAAGAAGCCAAGUAAGAAGAUCAGUAAGAAGCCAAGUAAUGAGAGAAGGGAGAGUGGUGCAGAGAGGGAGAUGCAGAGCAACCAGUGAACACUCUAGGAAGUGGACUUACAGAUGAUAGACUUACCCAUUCGGACGUUGACAGUGAUGGCAGAGCACCGUCCCCAGAGUGCGCUAACCAAAGUGGAUGUCAAGAUGAAAGACUUCAUGUGUGUCAAGGGCAUAACAACACAGUUGGGCCUUCAGUGAAAUUUCCCUGACCAGAGUGGGCCACCAGACAUCUCCAGUUCUCGAGCCGAAGCACCAGUCCAGCCACAUCUUACAGUAUUUCCAGUCAUGGGGGACAGGCGAAGAAGCUUUAAGGCCUUGUGGUAUUCCCAUCACAAGUGGAUUGAAUACUCUCAGUGCAGGGACGCUGUUUAUUUUUAUGCCUGCAGGUACUUUGGCCUUCCAAACACUAAAUCAGUUUUCAUUUCAGAUAUAGGCUAUAAAAACUGGAAAAAGACUAUGUUCAAAGAUGGAGGCUUUGCUUCCCAUGCCAAGUCUGAAGCAUACAUCAAUGCUACAUUAAGCAUGGAAAAGAAAGAAGAAAAAACAAGACAUCUUUGAUAAAUUAACUGUCACAAGAGCAUACAAAACAGGAAAACCGUGAUUAUAUUAAAAGUGUACCUGAAGUUUUACUGUUAACUGCUACACAAAACAUGGCACAAAGGGGUCAUAGGAAGACAAUGGAUUUGGACAACGGGAAAUUUCCUUGCUAUAUUAUAGGUUCUUGGUAUUCAAGGAAAGUCAAGUUUUUGCCCUUAUGGCAGAUGAAACCAAAGAUGUAAAAAAGAAAGAACAAAUUUCUCUUGUUCUCAGGUAUUAUUUCGGGGGAGCUAUAAAAGAGAGCUUCUUGCACUUUGAAGCUGCAGAGCAUCUUAAUGCUGCAGGGUUGGCGGACAAAAUGAUACAUAUUCUUGAGAGAUACGGACUGGAAUAUAGACAAUUUGGUUGGACAAGCCUAUGACAGAGCAUCUGUAAUGAGCGGCAAGAACUCUGGCAUUCAGGCUCGUUUUAAGGAGGUGGCAAAGCAGGCCUUUUAUGUCCUCUGUAAUGCUCAUUGCCUUAAUCUAGUUCUUGUUGACACUGUCAAAGCAGUCCCAGAAGUCGAAUGCUUCUUUUCUCUUGUGCAAAAACUACACGUUUAUGGCUGGGUCUUAUGUUCAUACAAAGUGGCUCAGCAAGCAAAAGGAAAUGUAUGAUGGGGCACCAAGAGAACUGCAAAAGCUAAGUGACACAAGAUGGCCCUGUCAACACAAGGUUUGUCAUACUAUUCUUGAUAGAUUGCCUGCUGUUACCUGUGUCCUUCAAAGAAAUAGAUGAAGAAAAGAGUGGUAGUAGGUCAGUUGAAGCACGAGGGCUGCUAGCUCAAAUGGACUUGCAGUUCAUAGGACUUCUGGUCACUCUGUCUGGAGUUUUUGGUAAGGCAAGUUUCCUUUCUGAUCCUCUCCAGUCUCCAAACCUUGAUUUAGGUUUAGCUGUGGAUUUAGUUGAAGCUGUUGUACAGACUCUUAAAGACUGUAGGGAUGAAACCUACAUUGAAGAGCUCUGAAAACAAGUGGUACAUACUGCUGAACAAUGCAAUAUUGACUCAGAACCUGCACCCAAAAUAAAAUAAAUGCAAAACAGAAGGCUGGAUGGACAUAGUGUGAUGUCUCAACUAGGUGGGUGUCCUGAGCAGAACAAGGACACUUUUCAUACAGGGGUAUUUUACCCUGUCCUUUAUAAUAUGCUCACUGAGAUCAACAGAUGGUUCUCUAAACCAAGCUGUGAAGUAAUGAAGGGUAUUCAAGCCUUAAAUCCCACAAAUGGUACACUUUGUCAUGAGGAAGCUCUGUUUUCCUUUGUAUCUAUUUAUGAAUGCAACAUUGAAGACCUCAGAUAUGACUUACACCAGUUGAAAAGAAUCCUAGUUAAGAAAAUCCAAGCAGGCAUAGAGAAACCCUCUAGCAUAGUUGACCUCACAAAAUUCAUUGAGCUGUAUCAUGAGGUGUUUCAUGAACUCUUUGGAUUGUGUAAAAUAGUGGUCACCAUACCUGUGAGUACAGCUGCAUAUGAAAGGAGCUUUUCGGUACUCAAUCUCAUUAAAACUUACUUGAGAUCAACCAUGGACGAUGACCGAUUGAGCAACCUGGGUGUUUUGAGUGUGGAAUUUGUUUGACAUAAGUGUCUUACGUGUAAUUAUCUUAUGUAAUUUAAAUUGUAAUGGCCUUAUGAGCUUUAUCACCGAUUAAAAAAGCAUA